UAUGACACGGAUCAAUGCUUGAC
RNAcentral lists this microRNA (23 nucleotides) under Caenorhabditis brenneri. Lineage: Eukaryota; Metazoa; Nematoda; Chromadorea; Rhabditida; Rhabditidae. The record is from RNAcentral.